Molecule: unclassified non-coding RNA, 476 nt
Filed under: uncultured Pseudogymnoascus
Lineage: Eukaryota; Fungi; Ascomycota; Leotiomycetes; Myxotrichaceae
Description: sequence contains ITS1, 5.8S rRNA gene, ITS2
Rfam family: 5.8S ribosomal RNA (bases 173-326)
Source: RNAcentral
AAGUUAUAGUCCCCUGGCCUUCUGGCUAGGGUCUUCUAUACCACCCUUUGUUUAUUACACCUUUGUUGCUUUGGCAGGCCUGCCCUCGGGCUGCUGGCUCCGGCCGGCGAGCGCCUGCCAGAGGACCUAAACUCUGUUUGUCUAUAAUGUCUGAGUACUAUAUAAUAGUUAAAACUUUCAACAACGGAUCUCUUGGUUCUGGCAUCGAUGAAGAACGCAGCGAAAUGCGAUAAGUAAUGUGAAUUGCAGAAUUCAGUGAAUCAUCGAAUCUUUGAACGCACAUUGCGCUCCCUGGUAUUCCGGGGAGCAUGCCUGUUCGAGCGUCAUUACAACCCUCAAGCUCUGCUUGGUGUUGGGCCCCGCCGCCCCGGCGGGCCCUAAAGUCAGUGGCGGUGCCGUCCGGCUCCGAGCGUAGUAAUUUUUCUCGCUUUGGAGGCCCGGUCGCGUGCUUGCCAUCAACCCCCAAUUUUUUUCAG